AAAAAGAAGUAAAUUUUUCUUUUUCUUAUAUAUGCGAAGAACUAUAAAACAAAACCAAGCUUCUUAUCAUUCACGAAUCUACUCUUCUCUCAAUUUCUUGUUUAGUUAUUUCUCAACUAUGGAUUCAUCUUCCGGUGUACCAGUUCGUGGGCAUCCUGUGCAGCAAGGCUACCCCAAAAUGAUUAGGACCAGUAAUAUCAAAGGGACAAAAGAACAAAAGGGAGAUAAAUCAAACACGGAAGGGUCGAAGAAAAAAAAGAUACCAAACACGAAAAAGUGAGGAAGUCCAAAGAUGAGGAUGCAUGUUUGUAUAAUACUGAAUAAUUUGAAUUUACUUUGGAAGAAUCUUCUUCUUCUUA
Arabidopsis lyrata subsp. lyrata is the source of this 359-nucleotide long non-coding RNA. RefSeq lists it as uncharacterized. Lineage: Eukaryota; Viridiplantae; Streptophyta; Magnoliopsida; Brassicales; Brassicaceae. The transcript is spliced from 3 exons. The record is from RefSeq and is a predicted model, not a curated record.